AUACGUAGGUGGCAAGCGUUGUCCGGAAUUAUUGGGCGUAAAGCGCGCGCAGGCGGUCCUUUAAGUCUGAUGUGAGAGCCCACGGCUCAACCGUGGAGGGUCAUUGGAAACUGGGGGACUUGAGUGCAGAAGAGGAAAGUGGAAUUCCAAGUGUAGCGGUGAAAUGCGUAGAGAUUUGGAGGAACACCAGUGGCGAAGGCGACUUUCUGGUCUGUAACUGACGCUGAGGCGCGAAAGCGUGGGGAGCAAACAGGAUUAGAUACCUUGGUAGUCCACGCCGUAAACGAUGAGUGCUAAGUGUUAGGGGGUUUCCGCCCCUUAGUGCUGCAGCUAACGCAUUAAGCACUCCGCCUGGGGAGUACGGUCGCAAGACUGAAACUCAAAGGAAUCGACGGGG
Molecule: ribosomal RNA, 397 nt
Filed under: uncultured bacterium
Lineage: Bacteria
Description: partial 16S ribosomal RNA
Rfam family: Bacterial small subunit ribosomal RNA
Source: RNAcentral